Molecule: transfer RNA, 88 nt
Filed under: Chloroflexota bacterium
Lineage: Bacteria; Bacillati; Chloroflexota
Description: tRNA-Ser
Rfam family: tRNA
About the family: Transfer RNA (tRNA) molecules are approximately 80 nucleotides in length. Their secondary structure includes four short double-helical elements and three loops (D, anti-codon, and T loops).
Source: RNAcentral
GGAGGGGUCGCAUAGCGGACUAGUGCGGCGGUCUUGAAAACCGCUGAGGUGCAAGCCUCCGUGGGUUCGAAUCCCACCCCCUCCGCCA